ACUCCUACGGGAGGCAGCAGUGGGGAAUCUUAGACAAUGGGGGCAACCCUGAUCUAGCCAUGCCGCGUGAGUGAAGAAGGCCCUAGGGUCGUAAAGCUCUUUCGCCUGUGAAGAUAAUGACUGUAGCAGGUAAAGAACCCCGGCUAACUUCCGUGCCAGCAGCCGCGGUAAUACGGAGGAAUCCAAGCGUUAUCCGGAAUCAUUGGGUUUAAAGGGUCCGUAGGCGGUUUUAUAAGUCAGUGGUGAAAUCCGGCAGCUCAACUGUCGAACUGCCAUUGAUACUGUAGAACUUGAAUUAUUGUGAAGUAACUAGAAUAUGUAGUGUAGCGGUGAAAUGCUUAGAGAUUACAUGGAAUACCAAUUGCG
This 366-nucleotide ribosomal RNA is filed under the name uncultured bacterium. RNAcentral describes it as "bacterial SSU rRNA". It matches the Rfam family "Bacterial small subunit ribosomal RNA", at positions 335 to 717 of the family's 1533-position model. The record is from RNAcentral.